CACACACACCUAUUCCAGACUUGUAAUGUAUUUUCUUUUACUCGAUUCUUGUGGAUGUUAUGUUUUCGUAUUUUUAUUAGUAGAUUUGAUUGGGAAUACAAGCUAAAAUUUGGAGGAAAAAAUCGGAUGCUUGCGAGGAAGCCGUUUCCGGAUUUUAUUGACGCUGUAAAAGAAAGUGCAACAAACAAUAAAACAAUUCACUAAGUUAGCCGACGGGACCCCAGCUCUGUCACUGAACAAGGGCUGCAUCGACACACAAGGGCCUUGCAAACGAACGGGCUUGUCCUCGGUUGAGGGGCUCUGACCCGCGGCCUUCAUUUCCUUCUUCCAUUUCAUGCGGCGGUUCUGGAACCAGAUCUU
Polyodon spathula (Mississippi paddlefish) is the source of this 360-nucleotide long non-coding RNA. RefSeq lists it as uncharacterized. NCBI's taxonomy places the organism in Eukaryota, Metazoa, Chordata, Actinopteri, Acipenseriformes, Polyodontidae. The transcript has 3 exons. The record is from RefSeq and is a predicted model, not a curated record.